Molecule: RNA transcript, 1720 nt
Organism: Carlito syrichta (Philippine tarsier)
Lineage: Eukaryota; Metazoa; Chordata; Mammalia; Primates; Tarsiidae
Gene name: CUGBP Elav-like family member 2 pseudogene
Exons: 1
Source: RefSeq, a predicted model, not a curated record
UCCCCACCGUAGCCAGGGUAGGGCUGGUCACGCCGCCGAUGCGUGGAUGGCAGCCUCGCAGCGCCAGACCCGCACUUAACUCGCCCCUGCCUCCCGAGCCUGCGCGAUGUGCCGCCCCGGGUGACAGGCGGCGGGGCGCUGCCCGGGACUCGGGCGGCCAUGCUCCCCCGCAGCACGUAGUGAGAGCCUCGCCGCCCAGGAGCAACCUCAUGUGACGGCACAGCCAACAAGAUGAACGGUGCUUUGGAUCACUCAGACCAGCCAGACCCAGAUGUCAUUAAGAUGUUCAUCGGACAGAUCCCUCAGUCGUGGUCGGAAAAGGGGCUGAAAGAAUUUUUCGAGCCUUACGGAGCCAACUACUAGAUCAACGUACUCCGGGACUGGAGUCAGAACCCUCCCCAGAGUAUAAAGGUUGUUGUUUCAUAACAUUUUAUACAAGAAAAGCUGCACUUGAGACCCAGAAUGCACUGCACAAUAUUAAAACUUUACCUGGGAUGCAUCAUCCCAUUCAGAUGGAACCUGCAGAUAGUGAAAAGUCCAACGCUGUGGAAGACAGGAAACUGUACAUAGGAAUGGUCUCGAAGUGUAAUGGGAAUGGUAUCAGGGAGAUGUUUUCUCCAUUUGGUCAGAUCGAGGAAUGCCGCAUUCUCCGGGAAUCCAACGGGCUGAGUCGAGGCUGUGUGUUUGUCACAUUUUCUACAAGGGCAAUGGCACAGAAUGCAAUCAAAGCCAUGCAUCAGUCUCAGAUCAUGGAGGGUUGCUCUUCACCUAUCGUGGUGAAGUUCGCGGACGCUCAGAAGGACAAAGAGCAAAGGCGCCUGCCCCAGCAGCUGGCCCAGCAGAUGCAGCAGCUCAACAGCCACUUGGGGAAACCUGACCGGGCUGGGCGGGCUGACUCCGCAGUACCUGGUGCUCCUGCAGAAAGCCACCUCCAGCAAACAACCUUUGGUGCAUUCAGUGGCAUUCAGCAGAUGGCGGGCAUGAAAGCUUUACAACUCCGGAACCUGGCGACAUUGGCUGCUGCUGCCACCGUGGCCCAGACCUCAGCCACCAGUGCCAGUGCAAACCCCCUCUCUACCACGAGCAGUGCCCUGGGAGCCCUCAUGAGUCCCGUGACUGCUUCAACUCCCAACUCCACUGCUGGUGCAGCCAUGAACUCCCUGACCUCUCUUGGGACCCUGCAAGGACUAGCUGGAGCCACAGUUGGACUGAAUAAUAUUAAUGCACUAGCAGGUAUGGCGGCUCUGAACGGAGGACUUGGCACCACAGGCUUGACAAAUGGCAUGGCUGGCACCAUGGAUGCCCUCACCCAGCCCUACUCAGGAAUUCAGCAGUACGCAGCCGCUGUGCUGCCCACCCUGUACAACCAGAGCCUGUUGCAGCAGUAGAGCACUGCGGGCAGCCAGAAGAAAGGUCCAGAGGGGGCAAACCUCCUUAUUUACCACCUUCCACAGGAGUUUGGAGACCAGGACAUUCUGCAGAUGUUCAUGCCUUUUGGAAAUGUAAUCUCUGCUAAAGUCUUCAAUGACAAACAGACCAAUCUGAGCAAGUGCUUUGGUUUCAUUAGCUACGACAAUCCAGUCUCUGCACAAGCUGCUAUCCAAGCUAUGAAUGACUUUCAGAUCGGCAUGAAAUACUUGAAGGUGCAGCUGAAGUGCUCCAAAAAUGACAGUAAACCUUACUGAUCCUAACCCCAUAGGCUCCCUGCUCUCAUUUUAGC